AGAUUAAUUGAUUGGAGUGAACAAUAUGUCUCAAUGGGCAACAAAGAAAUCUUGAUCAAGGCAGUAGCGCAAGCAAUACCUACAUAUGUUAUGAGUGUAUUUCGGCUACCGGCCUCUGUGUGUGAUGACUUAACACGUAUGAUGAGACAGUAUUGGUGGGGAGUAGAGAAUGGAAAGAGGAAAAUGGCCUGGCUCAGCUGGGAGAAAAUGAUCUUACCCAAGGAUAUGGGGGGCAUGGGUUUUAGAGAUAUGAGGGCGUUUAACCGGGCGCUUCUUGCAAAACAAGCCUGGAGGUUGCUUGAAAGUCCUGAU
RNAcentral lists this ribosomal RNA (312 nucleotides) under Triticum aestivum (bread wheat). Its description in RNAcentral is "partial small subunit ribosomal RNA". The record is from RNAcentral. Lineage: Eukaryota; Viridiplantae; Streptophyta; Magnoliopsida; Poales; Poaceae.